CCUACGGGAGGCAGCAGUAAGGAAUAUUGGACAAUGGCCGCAAGGCUGAUCCAGCCAUCCAGCGUGCAGGAAGAAGGCCCUAUGGGUUGUAAACUGCUUUUAUCAGGGAAUAAACCUCUGGAUUCACUCCGGAGCUGAAGGUACCUGAAGAAUAAGCACCGGCUAACUCCGUGCCAGCAGCCGCGGUAAUACGGGGGGUGCGAGCGUUAUCCGGAAUUACUGGGUUUAAAGGGUGCGUAGGCGGCUUUGUAAGUCAGGAGUGAAAGUUUGCGGCUCAACCGUAAAAUUGCUUCUGAUACUGCAUGGCUAGAAUUAGGAUGAGGUCAGCGGAAUGUGGCAUGUAGCGGUGAAAUGCAUAGAUAUGCCAUAGAACACCAAUUGCGAAGGCAGCUGGCUAGACCUGGAUUGACGCUGAGGCACGAAAGCGUGGGGAGCGAACAGGAUUAGAUACCCUGGUAGUCCACGCCCUAAACGAUGCUUACUCGACGUAUGGCACUAGUUGUUGUGCGUCCAAGGGAAACCGUUAAGUAAGCCACCUGGGGAGUACGACCGCAAGGUUGAAACUCAAAGGAAUUGACGG
This 580-nucleotide ribosomal RNA is filed under the name uncultured bacterium. RNAcentral's name for it is "bacterial SSU rRNA". It matches the Rfam family "Bacterial small subunit ribosomal RNA", at positions 338 to 916 of the family's 1533-position model. The record is from RNAcentral.